UGGGGAAUAUUGGACAAUGGGCGCAAGCCUGAUCCAGCCAUGCCGCGUGAGUGAUGAAGGCCUUAGGGUUGUAAAGCUCUUUCGGCGGGGACGAUAAUGACAGUACCCGCAGAAGAAGCCCCGGCUAACUUCGUGCCAGCAGCCGCGGUAAUACGAAGGGGGCUAGCGUUGCUCGGAAUCACUGGGCGUAAAGGGCGCGUAGGCGGACAUUUAAGUCGGGGGUGAAAGCCCAGGGCUCAACCCUGGAAUUGCCUCCGAUACUGGGUGUCUCGAGACCGGAAGAGGUGAGUGGAACUGCGAGUGUAGAGGUGAAAUUCGUAGAUAUUCGCAAGAACACCAGUGGCGAAGGCGGCUCACUGGUCCGGUUCUGACGCUGAGGCGCGAAAAGCGUGGGGAGCAAACAGGAUUAGAUACCCUGGUAGUCCACGCCGUAAAACGAUGGAUGCUAGCCGUUGGCAGGCUUGCCUGUCAGUGGCGCAGCUAACGCUUUAAGCAUCCCGCUUGGGGAGUACGGCCGCAAGGUUAAAACUCAAAUGAAUUGACGGGGUCAUAGCUGUUUCCU
Molecule: ribosomal RNA, 562 nt
Filed under: uncultured bacterium
Lineage: Bacteria
Description: partial 16S ribosomal RNA
Rfam family: Bacterial small subunit ribosomal RNA
Source: RNAcentral